UACGGGGGGGGCAAGCGUUGUUCGGAAUUACUGGGCGUAAAGGGCUCGUAGGUGGCCAACUAAGUCAUGCGUGAAAUCCCUCGGCUUAACCGGGAAACUGCGUCUGAUACUGGAUGGCUUGAGUUUGGGAGAGGGAUGCGGAAUUCCAGGUGUAGCGGUGAAAUGCGUAGAUAUCUGGAGGAACACCGGUGGCGAAGGCGGCAUCCUGGACCAAUACUGACACUGAGGAGCGAAAGCCAGGGGAGCAAACGGG
RNAcentral lists this ribosomal RNA (253 nucleotides) under uncultured bacterium. Its description in RNAcentral is "partial 16S ribosomal RNA". It matches the Rfam family "Bacterial small subunit ribosomal RNA", at positions 524 to 776 of the family's 1533-position model. The record is from RNAcentral.